GCCGUCUUAGCUCAGUUGGUAGAGCGCGUGGCUUUUAACCACGUAGUUGUGGGUUUGAUUCCCACAGACUGCG
RNAcentral lists this transfer RNA (73 nucleotides) under Gossypium hirsutum (cotton). It matches the Rfam family "tRNA". Rfam says of the family: Transfer RNA (tRNA) molecules are approximately 80 nucleotides in length. Their secondary structure includes four short double-helical elements and three loops (D, anti-codon, and T loops). Lineage: Eukaryota; Viridiplantae; Streptophyta; Magnoliopsida; Malvales; Malvaceae. RNAcentral also lists the same sequence under 1 other name. The record is from Rfam by way of RNAcentral.